AUUAGGUUGGUACAAAAGUAAUUGCUGUUUUUGCCAUUGCUUUAAUGGCAAAAACUGCAGUUACUUUUGCACCAACAUAAUA
MicroRNA precursor from Colobus angolensis palliatus, 82 nucleotides. The record is from Ensembl. Lineage: Eukaryota; Metazoa; Chordata; Mammalia; Primates; Cercopithecidae.